UAGGGAAUCUUCCACAAUGGACGCAAGUCUGAUGGAGCAACGCCGCGUGAGUGAAGAAGGUCUUCGGAUCGUAAACUCUGUUGUUGGAGAAGAACACGAGUGAGAGUAACUGUUCAUUCGAUGACGGUAUCUAACCAGCAAGUCACGGCUAACUACGUGCCAG
Molecule: ribosomal RNA, 163 nt
Filed under: uncultured bacterium
Lineage: Bacteria
Description: partial 16S rRNA
Rfam family: Bacterial small subunit ribosomal RNA
Source: RNAcentral